RNAcentral lists this long non-coding RNA (851 nucleotides) under Monodelphis domestica (gray short-tailed opossum). RNAcentral's name for it is "lncRNA (ENSMODG00000040179.1)". The record is from RNAcentral. Lineage: Eukaryota; Metazoa; Chordata; Mammalia; Didelphimorphia; Didelphidae.
GCCCCAAAGCCUUAGAAAUUGCAGUGCCCCACUGACUACCAACCCAGAAACCAGUCCAACUCUCAUUGCCUUCAUCUUAGAGAGCAAUCCUUAAGGAUAAAAGACCUGAUAACUGCUCCUGUGGUACCCACCCGCCUUCAAUAUCCAAAACUUCCAAUGAUCCCCAAAAGAAAGUUCUCUUCACUAAAAUCUUUGGCACUUUCAAAUGAUGUAGCAUAAAAAAAUAAAGAGGAUUUUAUUAAUGGGAAUGACACUAUAGGAAAUAUAUUGCCAUCUGCCCUGCUGCUAUACCCUAAGGACCAUAGGGCCUUUCCAUUUGAUUUGUAGCUGAAUCUUUCCACAUAUAUUCUUUCCCCUAUUAGGAUAAUUUAUCCUUGAGAACAGGGCAUUACUGUUUCACCUUACUGUUUGUAUCUCUAGCAUUGAGCCCAUGUUUUGUUCAUAGUAAGUGCUUAAUAGAUGCUUAAUCCUUCCUUCCCUAUCAGCUCUUGUGCAUUUGAAUCCUUCUGGGAGACCAACUCAGGAUAGAGAAUUAGUUCCAGAUUAUCUCUCUCCCUCCACCCAUUGAGAAGGCAAAAAAAAAAUGCAAAACCAUUACAAAUAUGAAGUCAGGCAAAAACAAAUUAUUCAUGUUCUGAAGAAAAAAAGGAAGGACAGAGGGUAGUAAAGAAGGAAGUAAAAGAGAAAGAAAGAGCAAGCAAAAGCAAGAAAGAAAGAGAAAGAAAAGAACCAUGCGUCUCUCUGCACUCUGAUUCACCAUUUCCCUAUCUGGAGGUAAUGCCUUCACCUCCAAGGGUAGGCAGAGUCCCUGCCAAGAUAUUCUAGCUGUCAUCCACGAAGCCAACGGAAAG